UGAGGAAUUUUGCGCAAUGGGGGAAACCCUGACGCAGCAACGCCGCGUGAGCGAUGAAGGCCUUUGGGUCGUAAAGCUCUGUCGGAUGGGAAGAAAAAAAUGACGGUACCAUCAGAGGAAGCCCCGGCUAACUCCGUGCCAGCAGCCGCGGUAAUACGGAGGGGGCAAGCGUUGUUCGGAAUUAUUGGGCGUAAAGCGCGUGUAGGCGGUAAGGUAAGUCAAACGUGAAAGUCAACGGCUCAACCGGGGAAUUGCGUUUGAUACUGUCUUACUGGAGUACGGUAGAGGAGAGUGGAAUUCCUAGUGUAGCAGUGAAAUGCGUAGAUAUUAGGAAGAACACCGGUGGCGAAGGCGGCUCUCUGGCCCGUUACUGACGCUGAGACGCGAAAGCCAGGGGAGCGAACGGG
RNAcentral lists this ribosomal RNA (407 nucleotides) under uncultured bacterium. RNAcentral's name for it is "bacterial SSU rRNA". It matches the Rfam family "Bacterial small subunit ribosomal RNA", at positions 355 to 776 of the family's 1533-position model. The record is from RNAcentral.